AUUGAACGCUGGCGGCAGGCUUAACACAUGCAAGUCGAACGAUGAUUAUCUAGCUUGCUAGAUAUGAUUAGUGGCGGACGGGUGAGUAACAUCUAGGAAUCUACCUAGUAGUGGGGGAUAGCUCGGGGAAACUCGAAUUAAUACCGCAUACGACCUACGGGUGAAAGGGGGCGCAAGCUCUUGCUAUUAGAUGAGCCUAAAUCAGAUUAGCUAGUUGGUGGGGUAAAGGCCCACCAAGGCGACGAUCUGUAACUGGUCUGAGAGGAUGAUCAGUCACACCGGAACUGAGACACGGUCCGGACUCCUACGGGAGGCAGCAGUGGGGAAUAUUGGACAAUGGGGGCAACCCUGAUCCAGCCAUGCCGCGUGUGUGAAGAAGGCCUUUUGGUUGUAAAGCACUUUAAGCAGGGAGGAGAGGCUAAUGGUUAAUACCCAUUAGAUUAGACGUUACCUGCAGAAUAAGCACCGGCUAACUCUGUGCCAGCAGCCGCGGUAAUACAGAGGGUGCGAGCGUUAAUCGGAAUUACUGGGCGUAAAGCGAGUGUAGGUGGCUCAUUAAGUCACAUGUGAAAUCCCCGGGCUUAACCUGGGAACUGCAUGUGAUACUGGUGGUGCUAGAAUAUGUGAGAGGGAAGUAGAAUUCCAGGUGUAGCGGUGAAAUGCGUAGAGAUCUGGAGGAAUACCGAUGGCGAAGGCAGCUUCCUGGCAUAAUAUUGACACUGAGAUUCGAAAGCGUGGGUAGCAAACAGGAUUAGAUACCCUGGUAGUCCACGCCGUAAACGAUGUCUACUAGCCGUUGGGGUCCUUGAGACUUUAGUGGCGCAGUUAACGCGAUAAGUAGACCGCCUGGGGAGUACGGCCGCAAGGUUAAAACUCAAAUGAAUUGACGGGGGCCCGCACAAGCGGUGGAGCAUGUGGUUUAAUUCGAUGCAACGCGAAGAACCUUACCUGGUCUUGACAUAGUGAGAAUCUCUCAGAGAUGAGAGAGUGCCUUCGGGAACUCACAUACAGGUGCUGCAUGGCUGUCGUCAGCUCGUGUCGUGAGAUGUUGGGUUAAGUCCCGCAACGAGCGCAACCCUUUUCCUUAUUUGCCAGCGGGUUAAGCCGGGAACUUUAAGGAUACUGCCAGUGACAAACUGGAGGAAGGCGGGGACGACGUCAAGUCAUCAUGACCCUUACGACCAGGGCUACACACGUGCUACAAUGGUAGGUACAGAGGGUUGCUACACAGCGAUGUGAUGCUAAGCUCAAAAAGCCUAUCGUAGUCCGGAUUGGAGUCUGCAACUCGACUCCAUGAAGUCGGAAUCGUUAGUAAUCGCGGAUCAGAAUGCCGCGGUGAAUACGUUCCCGGGCCU
RNAcentral lists this ribosomal RNA (1355 nucleotides) under uncultured bacterium. Its description in RNAcentral is "bacterial SSU rRNA". It matches the Rfam family "Bacterial small subunit ribosomal RNA", at positions 28 to 1381 of the family's 1533-position model. The record is from RNAcentral.